UCACUUCAUGUCUAGUUAAUAUGACUUUUAAUUUGUUUCCCUCAUCCAUUCUUCAAACUGCUUAAGCUGUAGGCUUAAUAUUUCAUCUUGUAAGUACAACAGGAGAUGCAGAAGAGAUGAGCUCUCUUGGGCUGGUAUCUUGCCUAUCCACGCAAUUUUUAGUGCUUUUUAAACAAGCUUUUAAGGAGCAGAUUUCAGGCACAGGUCUCUCCUGCCUGGAAACAAAACAUGCUGCUGAUCUCUUUCAGUCACAUGUGUGAGCAAAACGUUGAAGAGGUUGACAGGUUGCCUGGAGCUGAUAGCUCAGUGUUACUGGGAGGUAGUAAUGAUCAUCUAACAGUAUCUGCUGGGUUGGUUUGGCAGGCCUUCAAGGUAUGCUUGGUAGGGCUGUUUGUCAGUCCUUGGUGGCAUUGUUGGUGUACUCCUUCUGUAUCUAUUCCUUUGCUACUUAGCUCACAGUACAAAACUCUCAGCAUGCAGGAGUCAGCAUCCUCAUUAAACUACCAGGUAGUACUCUCUACUGCUCCGAGUUAUCAUCCACUUCUGUUGAAUAAUUAAUCUGUGAGGAAAAGGUUAGUAAGAGCAACUGAGCUCUUACCAAACUGAGACCAACUCCCUGAAUGUACUCUGAAACAAAGAAAAUACACAAGCAGACACAAAGUCAACAUUAAAAGAGGCAGCCAAAGGAUUUUCCAGUUUUUGAGAGCCCACAAAAAUGGAAUAUCGGCUCAAGCAUCAGUCACAGCAAUAAUGCCAUUUAACUUGGAAGACUUUUAACAUCAUCCUCUCCAAGAACUCCACACGAUUCUCUGCACCUUCUGGCUCAUUCUACAGAGCUGAAACCUCUGGACUGUAGCAACGAGGAACAGGAGGAAGAAGCAGAGAGUGCACUGCAUUGAACAGAUAAACAGCCUGCCUAGCAGGAAGAAGAGAAGGAGUCCAGUGACAGGCAGCCUCCUAGGACCUGCAAGUGCUCCCCAGCAGCUGCAAGCCUAUCACAGGCUGUCUACAAGAGACACAAAUACAGGUCACUGGUGCUUGGUGGAUGAAAAAGAGAAACAAAUAACACUUAGGGGACUGAAUUUUUUUCCACAUGCCAUAAAUAUAGGGCUAAGGAAGAUGACAUGUCUAUCUGCUGUAGACUGUCAAAGCCCAGGAAGAAACAGAAAACAAAAAGGCGAAUGAAAUAAGGAGUACCAAAAGGAAGAAAACAAGUGGUGGCAGAAACACAGUGACCACAAUGAAUCACCACAUUUCCAACUGUGAUAGAGACUAUUUGCAGUCCACACACAAAGCUCCUCACAAGCAGUGGCCUCUACUCAUGGAAAAUAGCAAACCAGACCAUUUCACCCACCUGACUCAUGCUUCAUUGCUUCAGCAGCAGCUUCCCACUGCUGCUUCCCCACUGGGGCUCAUGCAGUCCUCUGUGCCAGUGACUGCCUGAGCUAAACCACUUGAACUCACAGCUGCAAGCUCUGGGUCCCUCAAUCAUUACCCAGCCACAUCCUUAUGAAGGUCUGCAAAAUCCUCAGCAGCAGCUCCUGUCACUCCCCUGUACAGGCAGCAGUAACAACUGAGAACAAAAUUGGCCAAAGGGAUUCAAAGCCAUGUUCUCAUCCUACUUCCAACGCUGCUGUAAACCUUGUCAGUACAGUAUUCCUGGACUGGCUGUUUCAGGUGUGAUCUGGAAUAUAGCAUUCUGCCUUCCUUCCCCUGGGCUACUUUGAGGGCAUCUACUGCCACCGGUUAGUCCCCUGGUGGGGAGGUCACUAUGGAGCCAGGGUCUAAAGUGUCCUGUUGUUUCAGAGACUGGCUUUUUGGUGGCUGUAAGAGGAGGGAUUCAAGAAGCUAAGUCUUUCUCUGCAUAUUUUUGACAUCUUACUAAACUGCCAGCUUGACAGAGGAGAAAAGGAAUUUAUAUAACAUUAUGCUAACAUAAUGCGUUUCUUAGUGUUGCUGGUAAGCCCUCCAUACUAAGUGAGCCUUUUAAAAUCAGUGUCAUGAAGAAUUUGCACAUUUUCUUUGUCAAUAAAACAGCAUUGUUCAACUUUUCACUAGUUUACUGAGAAAUAGUAUACUGAGAAAGUUUAUUUGCUUUUGAAUAAUUCUCAGUAGUUCCAGAAAUGACAGGGCAGCAGUUACUUUGAGGAAAUACCCUCUUUGCUUUUUACUAGCCCUGUUUAAAAACUACAUGAUGGAUCCUUGUCAUCACCAGGAGAAAAAAGCUGGAACUUUAGUAACCAGUAAACUUAAGUGUAGGUUAACUUUUGCAGUAAUCUAUGGCAGACUGGAUGGCCAAGACAUGUGAGUGAUUUCUUUUGUGCCCAUUUUUUGCUGUCAGGCUGCUGGGCGUGGGCCAUAGUUUGCACAGGGGAACACUUCAGCAGUUCCUGGCAAUUUUACUGAUACUUUAGAACUUCCCACAUGUAUGAUCACUGCAUGUACUGCAUGUACAUUAAAAAUCUCCAUAGGAAUUACACCUUACAUAGGUGUAAUCCCACCAAUUCCGGUGUAACACUACUGGAAUUUUCCAGAGACUAGGAAUUACAGUGGGUUGUAACAAGCUGAGGUAUUUUAUUUUUAGUCAGUCUUGUUCCGACAAGAUCACUGUACUGGGGUAUACUAAACAUUUUGCCCUGGAAAAAAAGGGACAGCACAGGAACACAAAUCAGAAUAUAUCUGGGCUUGCUGCUUUCUCCAUCCCCCUCCUCUCUAAAUAAAAAUAAAAUGUUAUUAAUUAAAAAUUUGUCCUACUUCAGCAUGGUCACUGCUAAAGCAGUCACAUGCACCCCUGGCUGCCCCUACCCUUUUCCCACAACAGGGGCAGUUUCUUUUCAACAAGGUGCUCAGGACAAAGGAAGAAAGCCUAUGACCAAAGCACUUUUGGAUAGCAGUGAUUGUGUCUCAUUUUAAACAGGAUAAUUUUGAGACUUACAAAAUGUUGGCUUAUAUAAAGAUAUUUCAGAUACCAAAAGUCAUUCAUAGAUUAGGGAAAAUCAACUAAUGCCAUUUUGGAGCUAGACCUGAGCACAGAAAAAUAUUGCAGUAAUCAGUCUUCACUGAGAUGCUCCUAAGCUGUUUUGGUUUUCUUUAAUUUAUGUAUUGCUAUAAUAAGCAAAGAAGAAAAAUCUCAACACCUUAAACACUCAUCUGAGCUUUCACAUGGGGAAAACAGAGGCUUUCUCUUCUGUUUUAAAUUCAGGCUAAUCAAAGACAUAAAGAAAUCUGUAUACACUGUGGCAUCUCCAAAUGAAGAUUUGCUAUUGUUUUUUAACAUUGGUAUUUUCCUAUGUGCCCAAAUCACUUAGUUGAACGAAUUAGCUCAGUGCAUUAGGCAUGGUGCUAAUAACACCAAGGUUGUGGGAUUGGUCGCUGUACAGGCCAUUCACUUAAGAGUUGGACUUUUUGGUCCUUGUGUGUCUGUUUCAACUCAGAACAUUCUGUGGUUGAGAAACUGAUGAACAUCAGUUUUGGCCAUGUGAACCAUCUUUCUGACAAGCAGCAGAAUAGAAUUGUUACUUCUCAAGUCUCCAAGUUCAUUUUUAAAACUGGCAGCAAAGUAUGUAAAUGGAAUGUGCCAAGAAAGAACACACUUUAACCCAAAAUCAUGUUUUGGAUUUUUUUCUUCCGGUAAACCUAUUUUUGACAUAUGUUGCUCCAUGUCUGGAAGUAAAUGGUGUCACUUCCUCUGAGAAUGUUUUCUUUGUGAUUUAAGUAUGACAUGCUGAGUAGCAGUCAGCUCUAAAAUAACUACAGUUCGGGUAUUUGUCUGAGGUUGCUGGCAUCAUUAAGAGCGUGUUGUUUUAAGGGUGUCUGAAGUUUGUGUGGUAGUAAUUGGCUUGCUAGAGAAAUCAGUGUAAGGGCACGGAGAUCCAAUUAGGUGUACAGUUUUCAGUGUCAUUUCUUGACCUUCUGGGUCUUAAAACUCAACU
This is a long non-coding RNA of Motacilla alba alba, 3932 nucleotides long. RefSeq lists it as uncharacterized. Lineage: Eukaryota; Metazoa; Chordata; Aves; Passeriformes; Motacillidae. The record is from RefSeq and is a predicted model, not a curated record. The transcript has 2 exons.